GGCCAACCUUGGCCAAACCACGCAGUUCAUCUGUCCUCACAUCUGUUCAUGAACAAAACACCACCCCCUGUUUACAUGGCUGAUUUAAAAUAACAUGACCUCUAUGGUAAUCACUACAUGCAGGUAGAGAUGAACAGGCCAGGCUGGUUGUCACCGCAACCCUGCUACAUCAGUUGCCACCCUUCAUCUUUUUGCCUCGUUCUCUCUUUCUUUCUCUCAUUGCAUCCAUGACAGUCUCACAGAUUCCACUCCUGGCAGUUUAUCUAACUCCACAGGCCUCCUUCAUCACAACAGAUCUCCAGCUGUCAUAGCAGCCUUCCUCCUAGUGACCACAGCGAGAAGGGUUCCUCACCAACACACCAGGCCCUCCGAGGAAGCAGGAAAAGCGGCGCUCCAUUUUCCCUCACUUUCUGCCCUAUUUUGCUAGACUCGUAUCAGCACAGGUAAUACGGAC
Molecule: long non-coding RNA, 454 nt
Filed under: Takifugu rubripes (torafugu)
Lineage: Eukaryota; Metazoa; Chordata; Actinopteri; Tetraodontiformes; Tetraodontidae
Description: lncRNA (ENSTRUG00000028167.1)
Source: RNAcentral